Molecule: transfer RNA, 68 nt
Filed under: Humbertiella nada
Lineage: Eukaryota; Metazoa; Arthropoda; Insecta; Mantodea; Gonypetidae
Description: tRNA-Leu
Source: RNAcentral
AUUAUCUUGGCAGAAGAGGAGUGCAACAGAUUUAGGAUCUGUGAAUAUGAAUAUAAUCAUAGGUAAUA